Molecule: ribosomal RNA, 1128 nt
Filed under: Escherichia coli
Lineage: Bacteria; Pseudomonadati; Pseudomonadota; Gammaproteobacteria; Enterobacterales; Enterobacteriaceae
Description: partial 23S ribosomal RNA
Rfam family: Bacterial large subunit ribosomal RNA
Source: RNAcentral
AAUGGGUCAGCGACUUAUAUUCUGUAGCAAGGUUAACCGAAUAGGGGAGCCGAAGGGAAACCGAGUCUUAACUGGGCGUUAAGUUGCAGGGUAUAGACCCGAAACCCGGUGAUCUAGCCAUGGGCAGGUUGAAGGUUGGGUAACACUAACUGGAGGACCGAACCGACUAAUGUUGAAAAAUUAGCGGAUGACUUGUGGCUGGGGGUGAAAGGCCAAUCAAACCGGGAGAUAGCUGGUUCUCCCCGAAAGCUAUUUAGGUAGCGCCUCGUGAAUUCAUCUCCGGGGGUAGAGCACUGUUUCGGCAAGGGGGUCAUCCCGACUUACCAACCCGAUGCAAACUGCGAAUACCGGAGAAUGUUAUCACGGGAGACACACGGCGGGUGCUAACGUCCGUCGUGAAGAGGGAAACAACCCAGACCGCCAGCUAAGGUCCCAAAGUCAUGGUUAAGUGGGAAACGAUGUGGGAAGGCCCAGACAGCCAGGAUGUUGGCUUAGAAGCAGCCAUCAUUUAAAGAAAGCGUAAUAGCUCACUGGUCGAGUCGGCCUGCGCGGAAGAUGUAACGGGGCUAAACCAUGCACCGAAGCUGCGGCAGCGACGCUUAUGCGUUGUUGGGUAGGGGAGCGUUCUGUAAGCCUGUGAAGGUGUGCUGUGAGGCAUGCUGGAGGUAUCAGAAGUGCGAAUGCUGACAUAAGUAACGAUAAAGCGGGUGAAAAGCCCGCUCGCCGGAAGACCAAGGGUUCCUGUCCAACGUUAAUCGGGGCAGGGUGAGUCGACCCCUAAGGCGAGGCCGAAAGGCGUAGUCGAUGGGAAACAGGUUAAUAUUCCUGUACUUGGUGUUACUGCGAAGGGGGGACGGAGAAGGCUAUGUUGGCCGGGCGACGGUUGUCCCGGUUUAAGCGUGUAGGCUGGUUUUCCAGGCAAAUCCGGAAAAUCAAGGCUGAGGCGUGAUGACGAGGCACUACGGUGCUGAAGCAACAAAUGCCCUGCUUCCAGGAAAAGCCUCUAAGCAUCAGGUAACAUCAAAUCGUACCCCAAACCGACACAGGUGGUCAGGUAGAGAAUACCAAGGCGCUUGAGAGAACUCGGGUGAAGGAACUAGGCAAAAUGGUGCCGUAACUUCGGGAGAA